Molecule: long non-coding RNA, 415 nt
Organism: Sapajus apella (tufted capuchin)
Lineage: Eukaryota; Metazoa; Chordata; Mammalia; Primates; Cebidae
Exons: 2
Source: RefSeq, a predicted model, not a curated record
CCCAAGUAGACUUCUGCCGGCCCGGUUCUGGCCUCCUCCUGCUGGCCUCGGUGGUUCCAAACAUUGGGUCCUGAAGUCGGCCUCUCCAGACCCAGCUCCUGUCCUCCUGGCGUCUCCUCCCCAUGGGCACAAAACGUCCUCACGUCUUUCUUUUGUACACACUGGCGUCUCCAAGACCAUCUGCUUAGUCACGUCUGCCUCUGAAGAUGCAACUUCUGUUUUACAGUGGACUUUUUUACCUCAGUUCCUGCCUCACGACGGCCUCUUCAGGCUUUUCUCCUGCCUCUUAGUGGACACUCGUCUCAUCUCUUUCAUGGUGACUGUUUCUGCAGUGCACUCGCAUUAAAAUGAAUGGCCUCUUCUCUAUCCAGCUCUAUAUGUCUGAUUUUCAACUGCAUCUAGAAUCCCAAAGCUU